RNAcentral lists this ribosomal RNA (911 nucleotides) under Bacillus pumilus. Its description in RNAcentral is "bacterial SSU rRNA". It matches the Rfam family "Bacterial small subunit ribosomal RNA", at positions 74 to 972 of the family's 1533-position model. Lineage: Bacteria; Bacillati; Bacillota; Bacilli; Caryophanales; Bacillaceae. The record is from RNAcentral.
GGGAGCUUGCUCCCGGAUGUUAGCGGCGGACGGGUGAGUAACACGUGGGUAACCUGCCUGUAAGACUGGGAUAACUCCGGGAAACCGGAGCUAAUACCGGAUAGUUCCUUGAACCGCAUGGUUCAAGGAUGAAAGACGGUUUCGGCUGUCACUUACAGAUGGACCCGCGGCGCAUUAGCUAGUUGGUGGGGUAAUGGCUCACCAAGGCGACGAUGCGUAGCCGACCUGAGAGGGUGAUCGGCCACACUGGGACUGAGACACGGCCCAGACUCCUACGGGAGGCAGCAGUAGGGAAUCUUCCGCAAUGGACGAAAGUCUGACGGAGCAACGCCGCGUGAGUGAUGAAGGUUUUCGGAUCGUAAAGCUCUGUUGUUAGGGAAGAACAAGUGCGAGAGUAACUGCUCGCACCUUGACGGUACCUAACCAGAAAGCCACGGCUAACUACGUGCCAGCAGCCGCGGUAAUACGUAGGUGGCAAGCGUUGUCCGGAAUUAUUGGGCGUAAAGGGCUCGCAGGCGGUUUCUUAAGUCUGAUGUGAAAGCCCCCGGCUCAACCGGGGAGGGUCAUUGGAAACUGGGAAACUUGAGUGCAGAAGAGGAGAGUGGAAUUCCACGUGUAGCGGUGAAAUGCGUAGAGAUGUGGAGGAACACCAGUGGCGAAGGCGACUCUCUGGUCUGUAACUGACGCUGAGGAGCGAAAGCGUGGGGGAGCGAACAGGAUUAGAUACCCUGGUAGUCCACGCCGUAGACGAUGAGUGCUAAGUGUUAGGGGGUUUCCGCCCCUUAGUGCUGCAGCUAACGCAUUAAGGCACUCCGGCCUGGGGAGUACGGUCGCAAGACUGAACUCAAGGAAUUUGACGGGGCCCGCACAGCGUGGAGCAUGUGAUUAGUUUCGAGCACGCGAAGAACCUU